AGCAUGUCAAUCACUGGAACAAAGAUGAUGAAGAACAUUUGUUGAUGGGGUUAAGUUCUCUUCUUUGUGCCCCCCCCGCAAUUGGGAAAAGUCAGAGGAACAACAAAAGGAAUAAUCACUUCGUAUGUUCUCUCCUAAAAGCAUCCAUCGUACCAUCACACAAGUAUUAAUCGACACUUGUCCUCUAUUUAAAUUAUUUUUCAUUUUCAUUCAAACAUUAAAGCACUUGUGGUACAACAGUUAAAGACUUGCAUUUUUAUUGAAUUAUAAUUGAAUAAAGUGCACUUCCUUAAGGAAAAAAAAUUACAGUUGUGUCAACCAAAAUAUUUGUACACAUUAGUUCAUUUGGAGUUUGCAUAUCUGCAAAAGCCACUUGCAACAAAGGCGAGACCAUGUGUGAAAACUGGGUGAGCUACCAUAUGGCAUCGAGUGACCCACUUUUGUUUCUCUUUUUUUUUUACCCAUAAUCCACCCCUAUCACAUAAUUAGUACUCCUCUUCGAGAUCGUCGUCCAGGUCAGAAAAGUCAAUAGAUGGUCUGUUGUCUCGCGUUUCCUCGUCCCCUUCCCCAUGGGGAACUGCAAUCCAGACACAUCAAGUCAAAUUAUGUAGCCACGUAAUAAAUAUAACAAU
Etheostoma cragini (Arkansas darter) is the source of this 632-nucleotide long non-coding RNA. RefSeq lists it as uncharacterized. The record is from RefSeq and is a predicted model, not a curated record. Lineage: Eukaryota; Metazoa; Chordata; Actinopteri; Perciformes; Percidae. The transcript is spliced from 2 exons.